AAUUGGCAUUUGAUGAAACUUUUAUAUGCGUCUGAUUUUCAAUGAUGCUAAAUAUUUUCACCUUGGAGAACUGAUGCCAAUA
This is a small nucleolar RNA of Beta vulgaris subsp. vulgaris (sugar beet), 82 nucleotides long. The record is from Rfam. Lineage: Eukaryota; Viridiplantae; Streptophyta; Magnoliopsida; Caryophyllales; Amaranthaceae.